RNAcentral lists this ribosomal RNA (292 nucleotides) under uncultured Bacteroidota bacterium. RNAcentral's name for it is "uncultured Bacteroidetes bacterium partial 16S ribosomal RNA". Lineage: Bacteria; Pseudomonadati; Bacteroidota. The record is from RNAcentral.
GGACUACUGGGGUUUCUAAUCCUGUUUGAUCCCCACGCUUUCGUGCCUCAGCGUCAAUAUUCGUGUAGUGAGCUGCCUUCGCAAUCGGUGUUCUAUGUCAUAUCUAAGCAUUUCACCGCUACAUGACAUAUUCCGCUCACCUCCAUGACAUUCAAGAUACAUAGUAUCAAUGGCAGUUCUCGAGUUAAGCUCGAGGAUUUCACCACUGACUUACAUACCCGCCUACGCACCCUUUAAACCCAGUGAAUCCGGAUAACGCUUGCACCCUCCGUAUUACCGCGGCUGCUGGCAC